GCCUGGCUGGCUUGGUGAGUAAAGCAUAAGACUCCUGAUCUCAGGGUUGUGAGUUCAAUCCCCACGUUGGGCA
Molecule: transfer RNA, 73 nt
Filed under: Mustela putorius furo (domestic ferret)
Lineage: Eukaryota; Metazoa; Chordata; Mammalia; Carnivora; Mustelidae
Rfam family: tRNA
About the family: Transfer RNA (tRNA) molecules are approximately 80 nucleotides in length. Their secondary structure includes four short double-helical elements and three loops (D, anti-codon, and T loops). Further hydrogen bonds mediate the characteristic L-shaped molecular structure. tRNAs have two regions of fundamental functional importance: the anti-codon, which is responsible for specific mRNA codon recognition, and the 3' end, to which the tRNAs corresponding amino acid is attached (by aminoacyl-tRNA synthetases). tRNAs cope with the degeneracy of the genetic code in two manners: having more than one tRNA (with a specific anti-codon) for a particular amino acid; and 'wobble' base-pairing, i.e. permitting non-standard base-pairing at the 3rd anti-codon position.
Source: Rfam by way of RNAcentral